AUCCAUGGGCCUUUAACCAUCCAACACAAAGAUACAUAGAGAUGGGCAGUGAUAGUCAAACCUAGCUCUUCACUGUGGCCUGACUAGAAUAGCAACAGUGCAGACUAAAUGCUAGAAACAAUCGAAUUACCAUCAGUGGGAUAUGUCUGUAUGUAAGAAUUUACAAAACCUGAGAAAGAAUGAGUUGGAUCCAAAGUGAAAUGUGGACUGAUCUUCCAGAUAUAAAGUGUGCCAAACAUAGUGAUCCAUGAUGUGUUUGGAGGCCUACAUUAAAUAGAAAUUCAGCAGAAAAAUGUCCUGCAGGGACUCGUCUCGGCCCUUGGGGAGCUGAAAGGAUGACCUGUUUCAGGAGGACAUCAAAGAUGACAUCUGGCCAAAUCCAUUACAAUACUGGUUGGUUCCCGAUACGGAUGAAGAAGAGGGGGAAGGA
Tupaia belangeri chinensis (Chinese tree shrew) is the source of this 430-nucleotide long non-coding RNA. RefSeq lists it as uncharacterized. Lineage: Eukaryota; Metazoa; Chordata; Mammalia; Scandentia; Tupaiidae. The record is from RefSeq and is a predicted model, not a curated record. The transcript is spliced from 3 exons.